CGCUGACAAUCCAAAUUUUUUUAGGUGAAGUGCAUAUACAUAUUCUGUUUAGUAGUUUAAAUCAACUAGAGCAGUGGUUCUUAAAGGUAAAUCACCGACAUAUAAGAUGCAGUCCAUCGUAAUGACAAACAAAAUACCGUUGGUUCGAUGGCAACUAAACUUUCUAUGGUAAAUUGAAUAUAAAGCAACUGUACCAGUAAUUUCUUCAUGGCUGUUUCACUAAGACGAUUGCAAACAAUCUUUAACCAUUGUGAUGAAGACAAAAAGGGAUUUCUGAACCGCGAAGAUUUGAAAGUAGCAAUGUUAAUUCUAUUUGGCUAUAAGCCAUCUAAAUAUGAGAUACAGCAACUACUAGAUGAUGGAGAGGGCAAUAAAAAACUCAUGAAUUUCGAGACUUUUAAAUCAAUCAUGGCGGCAAGCAAGCAUGACCCUGACCAUGAGAUACGUGACAUAUUUCGCAUGUUUGACACUCACUGUCGGGGCUUUCUCAUUUUCGAUGAUGUAAAAAAAGCAUUUCAUGCAGUAGCUCCUCAUAUAUCUGACGCCACAAUACGUGCUUGUUGUGAGGAGAUGUGUAGGGAGUCUGAUGGUAGAAUCAGCUAUCGGGAGUUUGCUGAAGCAAUGAGGCAUGGCCAUGUACAUAUGGAACACCAUGAAAAUUAUGAUCACUUUUUUAAUUCAAAUGUGUGUUUUAGUUAAAAUGUUAACUUUUUCACAAAUAUGUUAAAGCAUUACUUAAUACUACUUUACUGCAUAUAUUUUUUUUUAUUUGUAAACAAACAUUUGUAUUUUAUUUUUAUGAAGUUGCACUUUAUCGAUUGGUUUUAACAGUGUGAAAUGUUUAUUUGCAUAAAAUACUUUUAAGAGUAGCAAGCUUCGCACAGAGUAUCAUAUUCAAACUGGAAGCAAUCAAAGAGACCAUAUAACUUCCUGGUAAAAUAUAGACGCUUUGGAGUGGGAACACAACAGGAAAGAAUACGAAGAUUAAGAAACAAACGCCGACUUUAGACAAAGUGAUAUAUACAAUCACUUAUUUAAGCAGUACUGUAAUUUAAAACAGUGGUGUAUAUAUAUUAGCACUUUAUGGUAUAUGCCACUGCCAGGGAGAGAGAAAAAGGUUUCGGACAGUUCGUUCGUGGGUUUUCCCCUUUUACAUUUCCCCUUGUUUGUUUACCAUCGCUUGGUCGAUGUCAUAAAACACUAGUGAAUCGUUUUUACAGUACUCUCUUGUGCUUGUGUCAGCUAGGUUUUUUUUGUCAAAUUUCCACAAAAAGUUGCAGUCUGAUUUCCAAAAGAGCUUUAUUAGACUUAUAACAUGGCAGUAACACAAGUUUCAUGUAAAAUCACUCUUUGGCAAUUUAUUAACAGUAUAAAAACGCUAAAACGAUAGUCUUCAAAACAACUAGCUGAUUUAAAUUCCAGAAACGAUAAAAUCACUUAAUUUCUUAGUGCUUGUCAGGAAAUGCUUGUCUUUCUGUCAUGUUUUUCCUCAUUAAGUAAUUUAUACAGCUGACAUUAUUAACUUCAUGCUGCAUUUAUACCAUAUGUUUGAGUCUGUAUGAGAUUUUGCUUUUCUGUCUUGUUCAUGUUAUAGUAAAAUAAUUACCACACAAGGCAGAGCAGUUAGUUCAUAAGGUAUGAACGCACACAGUUAUAAAAUCAGAGAUGCAUUGCAAAGAAUUAAGUUCAAAAUAUUUAAAUUAAAUUAGAUAAAAAAGAUAUUCAAUAUUUUUUCACUUUUUAUUUGAAAGAUAUUUUUAAUUAUUGUUGCGCUUGCGCAAAUAUGGUAAUUGAAGUGAAUAUAUCAAGAUCUUAAGACUUAUUUAGGAAUCUGUAGGUUUUAAAGUAUGUGGAAAUGGAAAAACAGUUUUAUACCUGUUUUCAUAUUACUGGGUCUUGGGUUUCUUGGAGAUUGUACAUCAAACCAGGAUCGAGUGACGAAAAGAUUUACACGAACAAAAAAUGGAAAACAUAUUGAAUUAUCCGUUUUUACAGUACUCUCUUGUGCUUGUGUCAGAAGAAAUCGUGGGUUUGUUAAAUAAGGAAAACUGUGAGCAGUACUGUGGAAGCGGGGCGCCCACAAAGGGGGUUUUAACGCCGGAGACAAUUACCAAAGUAGUGACUCAUAGGAGUUUCAUAUUUAAAACUGUUCGUUGCGCGUAAUCGUCAAUGAAACGCGGGUUUUGUAAACGUCGCAAACAA
Molecule: non-coding RNA, 2202 nt
Organism: Ciona intestinalis (vase tunicate)
Lineage: Eukaryota; Metazoa; Chordata; Ascidiacea; Phlebobranchia; Cionidae
Source: RefSeq, a predicted model, not a curated record